Molecule: ribosomal RNA, 365 nt
Filed under: uncultured eukaryote
Lineage: Eukaryota
Description: partial 18S ribosomal RNA
Rfam family: Eukaryotic small subunit ribosomal RNA
Source: RNAcentral
CAAUAGCGUAUAUUUAAGUUGUUGCAGUUAAAAAGCUCGUAGUCGGAUUUUGGCUGAGAACGAACGGUCCGCCGUUAGGUGUGCGCUGUUUGGUCUCAGCUUCCUGGUGAGGAGGUGUGCUUCACGGCCACUUAGUCACCGUGGUUACUUUGAAAAAAUUAGAGUGUUCAAAGCGGGCUUACGCUUGAAUAUAUUAGCAUGGAAUAACACCAUAGGACUCCUGUCCUAUUUCGUUGGUCUCGGGACGGGAGUAAUGAUUAAGAGGAACAGUUGGGGGCAUUCGUAUUUCAUUGUCAGAGGUGAAAUUCUUGGAUUUAUGAAAGACGAACUUCUGCGAAAGCAUUUGCCAAGGAUGUUUUCAUUGA